ACUGACAGCAAUGUAAGGAGGGGUCCUGAGCAGGACUGAGUCAGGGCAGGGGACGUCCCAAGCGCCCCCAGGCCUCCCAAACUUCCUGUCCCCCAGGACUCACAGCAGAAGCCGCCUCUGCCAGAUGCUGGGGACCCCCAAAGCAUGCAGUCCAUGAACCAACUCCUGGACAAGCUGGCCAAGGAAAACCAGGAGAUCCGGCUCAUGCAGGCGGAGCUGCAGACACACAAGGAUGAGCUGCGGGCGCUGCUGCAGAGGAGCGAGGGCCAGGCAGCUGCAGCGGGGGCGCAGCAGCAGGGCCUGGCCAAGGAGAACGCGCGGCUGCGCGCGGCACUGGAGCGGGAGGUCAGUGCGCUGCAGGACGCCCGGGCUGAGCUGCAGCGCCUGCAGGCCACGGGGACACCGAGCAGCCCCAGGGGGCCAGCAGCAGAGCGGCCCCAUGCCACAGGUGUCCCAGCGCACGGCAAGGCCACGGCACGAUGGCACGGUGAGCUGGAUGUGCUGCGGCGGGAGCUGGCGGACACC
Manacus vitellinus (golden-collared manakin) is the source of this 525-nucleotide long non-coding RNA. Lineage: Eukaryota; Metazoa; Chordata; Aves; Passeriformes; Pipridae. The record is from Ensembl.